RNAcentral lists this long non-coding RNA (918 nucleotides) under Homo sapiens (human). Its description in RNAcentral is "HSALNT0263238". Lineage: Eukaryota; Metazoa; Chordata; Mammalia; Primates; Hominidae. The record is from RNAcentral.
CAUUUUUAAUGGGCGGUUUUCAUGUGGCUGCAUCUGCGCAGCCUUGUCAAAAGUUCCUGCUCCAAGGCAAAAACCAGAGGAGUCUUUUUCUCUGUUGUGAGGUCUUGGAUGAGUCUUCUGCUCUCUCUAAAGCUCAUUUGUCUUAUCUGUAAAGUGACAGGAACAUCUGCCUCACUGGAUUGUCAUGAGGAGUAAAUGAGUCUCUUUGUGGAAUGGAGUGAAGGGUUGGCACGGUACCUGCCCUUGGCAGUCCUCGUGUUCCCCUCGCUCCACUGAUGAAGAAUCUGAGGCAUAGAGUGGUUAAGAAACUUGCCAAGGGUCAAACAGCUAUUGAGUGCUGGAGCCAGGAUUUAAUUCCAGGCAGCCUGACUCCAGAGUUCUGAGUUCUCAGGUACUACAAUGACCCCUGGCUUCUUCCUCUGGUCAUGGACCUCUUUAAUGUGACACCUGCUGUAGCCAUUGGGCCAGCAGUCUCGAGACAAUACAGCCAAGAGACAGAAGGAGCCUGGAGAGCCGGGGUCCCUGUGCGCAGCUUUGGGAGUUGAAUGGACCAGCACUGAAGCCCACCCUAUCUGCUGACUUCUUGUUUUGUGUGAAACAUAUUUCCAUCUUGUUGAAGCCAUUUUGACUCAGAAAGUACCCUAAUAGAGACACUGCUGCUGCCAGAAGAAACAGAAGGAGUGCAGGAAGACCCACUGGGCUCCAGGUAAUCUGUUCUCACAAACCACUCAGCCCAGGUUAAGACACAACUCUACGGCCUUUCACCAUGGGGGCCAGUUUUGAAGGCAGGAAAAACUGGUAAGAGAUCGUUGGAAAGGAUGGAAGAAAUUGCAGAGAAAAAUAAAAUUAUUUCAUAAUUCUCCUUUAUUAGGCACAGGUAAACAUACAUACUCAUGGUAUCCAAAACCUAGAGUAUGG